UGGGGAAUUUUGGACAAUGGACGCAAGUCUGAUCCAGCCAUGCCGCGUGCGGGAAGAAGGCCUUCGGGUUGUAAACCGCUUUUGUCAGGGAAGAAACGAGUUUCUCUAAUACAGAGACUUAAUGACGGUACCUGAAGAAUAAGCACCGGCUAACUACGUGCCAGCAGCCGCGGUAAUACGUAGGGUGCGAGCGUUAAUCGGAAUUACUGGGCGUAAAGCGUGCGCAGGCGGUUAUAUAAGACAGAUGUGAAAUCCCCGGGCUCAACCUGGGAAUUGCAUUUGUGACUGCAUCGCUGGAGUGCGGCAGAGGGGGAUGGAAUUCCGCGUGUAGCAGUGAAAUGCGUAGAUAUGCGGAGGAACACCGAUGGCGAAGGCAAUCCCCUGGACCUGUACUGACGCUCAUGCACGAAAGCGUGGGGAGCAAACA
Molecule: ribosomal RNA, 427 nt
Filed under: uncultured bacterium
Lineage: Bacteria
Description: bacterial SSU rRNA
Rfam family: Bacterial small subunit ribosomal RNA
Source: RNAcentral